RNAcentral lists this ribosomal RNA (561 nucleotides) under uncultured Gammaproteobacteria bacterium. Its description in RNAcentral is "bacterial SSU rRNA". It matches the Rfam family "Bacterial small subunit ribosomal RNA", at positions 97 to 653 of the family's 1533-position model. Lineage: Bacteria; Pseudomonadati; Pseudomonadota; Gammaproteobacteria. The record is from RNAcentral.
GGCGGACGGGUGAGUAAUGCAUAGGAAUCUGCCCAGUAGCGGGGGAUAACUCGGAGAAAUUCGAGCUAAUACCGCAUACGUCCUACGGGAGAAAACGGGGGACCCUUCGGGGCCUCGUGCUAUUGAAUGAGCCUAUGUCAGAUUAGCUUGUUGGUAGGGUAACGGCCUACCAAGGCGACGAUCUGUAGCUGGUCUGAGAGGAUGAUCAGCCACACCGGAACUGAGACACGGUCCGGACUCCUACGGGAGGCAGCAGUGGGGAAUAUUGGACAAUGGGCGCAAGCCUGAUCCAGCAAUGCCGCGUGUGUGAAGAAGGCCUGCGGGUUGUAAAGCACUUUUAUCGGGAAAGAAAAACCCAGGGUUAAUACCCCUGGCAUUGACGGUACCCGAGGAAUAAGCACCGGCUAACUCCGUGCCAGCAGCCGCGGUAAUACGGAGGGUGCAAGCGUUAAUCGGAAUUACUGGGCGUAAAGCGAGUGUAGGCGGCAACGUAAGUCGGAUGUGAAAUCCCCGGGCUUAACCUGGGAAUUGCAUUCGAUACUGCGUAGCUAGAGUCUGACA